GAUGAACGCUGGCGGCGUGCCUAAUACAUGCAAGUCGAGCGAACAGACGAGGAGCUUGCUCCUCUGACGUUAGCGGCGGACGGGUGAGUAACACGUGGAUAACCUACCUAUAAGACUGGGAUAACUUCGGGAAACCGGAGCUAAUACCGGAUAAUAUAUUGAACCGCAUGGUUCAAUAGUGAAAGACGGUUUUGCUGUCACUUAUAGAUGGAUCCGCGCCGCAUUAGCUAGUUGGUAAGGUAACGGCUUACCAAGGCAACGAUGCGUAGCCGACCUGAGAGGGUGAUCGGCCACACUGGAACUGAGACACGGUCCAGACUCCUACGGGAGGCAGCAGUAGGGCAUCUUCCGCAAUGGGCGAAAGCCUGACGGAGCAACGCCGCGUGGGUGAGGAAGGUCUUCGGAUCGUAAAACUCUGUUAUUAGGGAAGAACAAAUGUGUAAGUAACUAUGCACGUCUUGACGGUACCUAAUCAGAAAGCCACGGCUAACUACGUG
This 497-nucleotide ribosomal RNA is filed under the name uncultured bacterium. RNAcentral describes it as "partial 16S ribosomal RNA". It matches the Rfam family "Bacterial small subunit ribosomal RNA", at positions 28 to 507 of the family's 1533-position model. The record is from RNAcentral.